RNAcentral lists this ribosomal RNA (493 nucleotides) under uncultured bacterium. RNAcentral's name for it is "bacterial SSU rRNA". It matches the Rfam family "Bacterial small subunit ribosomal RNA", at positions 791 to 1282 of the family's 1533-position model. The record is from RNAcentral.
UAGUCCACGCCGUAAACGAUGAGUACUAGAUUUUGGGGGCUUUGACCCUUUCAGAGUCGUAGCUAACGCAUUAAGUACUCCGCCUGGGAAGUACGGUCGCAAGACUAAAACUCAAAGGAAUUGACGGGGGCCCGCACAAGCGGUGGAGUAUGUGGUUUAAUUCGAAGCAACGCGCAGAACCUUACCUACCCUUAACAUCCCGGGACAGCCUCAGAGAUGAGGUGUUCUCUUCGGAGACUCGGUGAUAGGUGCUGCAUGGCUGUCGUCAGCUCGUGUCGUAAGAUGCCUGGUUAAGUCCAAUAACGAGCGCAACCCUUAUCCUUAGUUACCAUCAUUAAGUUGGGGACUCUGAGGAGACUGCCGGUGUUAAACCGGAGGAAGGCGGGGAUGACGUCAAGUCCUCAUGGCCCUUACGGGGUAGGGGCUACACACGUACUACAAUGGCAGAAACAAACAGUUGCGAAGUCGCGAGGUCGAGCUAAUCUAGUAAAAC